This 253-nucleotide ribosomal RNA is filed under the name uncultured prokaryote. RNAcentral's name for it is "partial 16S ribosomal RNA". It matches the Rfam family "Bacterial small subunit ribosomal RNA", at positions 525 to 777 of the family's 1533-position model. The record is from RNAcentral.
ACGGAGGGUGCAAGCGUUAUCCGGAUUCACUGGGUUUAAAGGGUGCGCAGGCGGUGAUGUAAGACAGAUGUGAAAUCCCCGGGCUCAACCUGGGAACUGCAUUUGUGACUGCAUCGCUGGAGUGCGGCAGAGGGGGAUGGAAUUCCGCGUGUAGCAGUGAAAUGCGUAGAUAUGCGGAGGAACACCGAUGGCGAAGGCAAUCCCCUGGGCCUGCACUGACGCUCAUGCACGAAAGCGUGGGGAGCAAACAGGA